Molecule: long non-coding RNA, 139 nt
Organism: Suricata suricatta (meerkat)
Lineage: Eukaryota; Metazoa; Chordata; Mammalia; Carnivora; Herpestidae
Exons: 3
Source: RefSeq, a predicted model, not a curated record
CAGAAGUAGAGAGCUUUAUAUAAGCAGUUUCUUCUACUGAGUAAGCUCUGCUUCCCGGCCUUUCACCUGGUCAUAUCUUAUCCAUCACUGAAGGUCCAGAAAGACAAGCCAUAAUCAUAUCCCAGCACUGCCACCUGGC